Molecule: unclassified non-coding RNA, 426 nt
Filed under: fungal sp.
Lineage: Eukaryota; Fungi
Description: partial internal transcribed spacer region
Rfam family: Eukaryotic small subunit ribosomal RNA (bases 1-65)
Source: RNAcentral
CUUGGUUUAGAGGAAGUAAAAGUCGUAACAAGGUCUCCGUAGGUGAACCUGCGGAGGGAUCAUUAACACUAUUUGGCUGAACACGAGUCGAAAGACAAAGGUUCAGUUCAAAUUCUAACCACACUGUUGAACUCGGUUACUUCGCGUAACCAAUCCUCCCUUUGAAGUAGAAAUGGACAUGAAAGUUUGUAGUGGGUUGACGUAAGUCAUCGACUUUCAUGGCCUAUCAAAGCAUUCAUUUGACUUUGAAAUUUCUAUUUCUGAGGCAAUCUUUCCAAUUUCCUCCACUAUAGAAAUGAAACUCAUUUCACACCUUCGUACUCCAAUUGACUGAUCUACGCUGAGUAUCUCGAAAGGGAUUCACAGUCAGCCUUAAGAUAAUUCUUAAACUAAGCACAACUCUUAGCAACGGAUAUCUUGGCUCUC